This 359-nucleotide ribosomal RNA is filed under the name uncultured Komarkovaea sp. RNAcentral's name for it is "bacterial SSU rRNA". It matches the Rfam family "Bacterial small subunit ribosomal RNA", at positions 524 to 881 of the family's 1533-position model. The record is from RNAcentral. Lineage: Bacteria; Bacillati; Cyanobacteriota; Cyanophyceae; Oculatellales; Oculatellaceae.
UACGGAGGAGGCAAGCGUUAUCCGGAAUCAUUGGGCGUAAAGCGUCCGUAGGUGGUUGGUCAAGUCUGCUGUUAAAGCGUGGAGCUUAACUCCAUAAGGGCGGUGGAAACUGGUCAGCUAGAGUGCGAUAGGGGCAAGGGGAAUUCCCAGUGUAGCGGUGAAAUGCGUAGAUAUUGGGAAGAACACCGGUGGCGAAAGCGCCUUGCUGGGUCUGCACUGACACUGAGGGACGAAAGCUAGGGGAGCGAAAGGGAUUAGAUACCCCUGUAGUCCUAGCUGUAAACGAUGGGUACUAGGCGUUGUCCGUAUCGACCCGGACAGUGCCGUAGCUAACGCGUUAAGUACCCCGCCUGGGGAGU